AUAACUCAAUGGCACAGUGCCUGCCUUACAAGCAUGAGGUCCUGAGUUUAAUUCCCAGU
This 59-nucleotide transfer RNA is filed under the name Cavia porcellus (domestic guinea pig). It matches the Rfam family "tRNA", at positions 7 to 64 of the family's 71-position model. Rfam says of the family: Transfer RNA (tRNA) molecules are approximately 80 nucleotides in length. Their secondary structure includes four short double-helical elements and three loops (D, anti-codon, and T loops). The record is from Rfam by way of RNAcentral. Lineage: Eukaryota; Metazoa; Chordata; Mammalia; Rodentia; Caviidae.